UACGUAGGUGGCAAGCGUUGUCCGGAUUUAUUGGGUUUAAAGGGUGCGUAGGCGGUUCUAUAAGUUAGUGGUGAAAUCCGGCAGCUCAACUGUCGAUGUGCCAUUGAUACUGCAGAACUUGAGUACAGACGAGGUAGGCGGAAUUGACGGUGUAGCGGUGAAAUGCUUAGAUAUCGUCAAGAACACCGAUAGCGAAGGCAGCUUACUAGACUGUAACUGACGCUGAUGCACGAAAGUGUGGGGAUCAAACAGG
RNAcentral lists this ribosomal RNA (253 nucleotides) under uncultured bacterium. RNAcentral describes it as "partial 16S ribosomal RNA". It matches the Rfam family "Bacterial small subunit ribosomal RNA", at positions 524 to 776 of the family's 1533-position model. The record is from RNAcentral.